GUAACAAGGUUUCCGUAGGUGAACCUGCGGAAGGAUCAUUACCGAGUGAGGGCCCUCUGGGUCCAACCUCCCACCCGUGUUUAUUUACCUUAUUGCUUCGGCGGGCCCGCCUUCACUGGCCGCCGGGGGGCUCACGCCCCCGGGCCCGCGCCCGCCGAAGACACCCCGAACUCUGUCUGAAGAAUGAAGUCUGAGUGAAAAUAUAAAUUAUUUAAAACUUUCAACAACGGAUCUCUUGGUUCCGGCAUCGAUGAAGAACGCAGCGAAAUGCGAUACGUAAUGUGAAUUGCAAAUUCAGUGAAUCAUCGAGUCUUUGAACGCACAUUGCGCCCCCUGGUAUUCCGGGGGGCAUGCCUGUCCGAGCGUCAUUGCUGCCCUCAAGCCCGGCUUGUGUGUUGGGCCUCGUCCUCCGAUUCCGGGGGACGGGCCCGAAAGGCAGCGGCGGCACCGCGUCCGGUCCUCGAGCGUAUGGGGCUCUGUCACCCGCUCUGUAGGCCCGGCCGGCGCUUGCCGAUCAACCCAAAUUUUUAUCCAGGUUGACCUCGGAUCAGGUAGGGAUACCCGCUGAACCUAAGCAUAU
RNAcentral lists this unclassified non-coding RNA (580 nucleotides) under Penicillium paneum. Its description in RNAcentral is "sequence contains 18S rRNA gene, ITS1, 5.8S rRNA gene, ITS2, 28S rRNA gene". The stretch from base 216 to 368 matches the Rfam family "5.8S ribosomal RNA". Lineage: Eukaryota; Fungi; Ascomycota; Eurotiomycetes; Eurotiales; Aspergillaceae. The record is from RNAcentral.